RNAcentral lists this ribosomal RNA (301 nucleotides) under uncultured bacterium. RNAcentral describes it as "partial 16S ribosomal RNA". It matches the Rfam family "Bacterial small subunit ribosomal RNA", at positions 509 to 807 of the family's 1533-position model. The record is from RNAcentral.
CAGCCGCCACGGUAAUACGAGGGGGGCAAGCGUUGUUCGGAAUUAUUGGGCGUAAAGGGCGCGUAGGCGGUUUGGCAAGUUUCGUGUGAAAUCUUCGGGCUCAACUCGAAGUCUGCACGGAAAACUGCCGGGCUUGAGUAUGGGAGAGGUGAGUGGAAUUUCCGGUGUGGCGGUGAAAUGCGUAGAUAUCGGAAGGAACACCUGUGGCGAAAGCGGCCCACUGGACCAUAACUGACGCUGAGGCGCGAAAGCUAGGGGAGCAAACAGGAUUAGAUACCCCUGUAGUCCCUGUCUCUUAUAC